Molecule: long non-coding RNA, 88 nt
Filed under: Cricetulus griseus (Chinese hamster)
Lineage: Eukaryota; Metazoa; Chordata; Mammalia; Rodentia; Cricetidae
Description: lncRNA (ENSCGRG00000025264.1)
Source: RNAcentral
GAACUCUUGAUUAAGCCUAUUGGAUACUGUGAAAUGCAGUAAACCUCAUGUCGACUCAAACCAGGACCAUGGAAAGGCAAAGAUGGCC